Molecule: ribosomal RNA, 489 nt
Filed under: uncultured bacterium
Lineage: Bacteria
Description: bacterial SSU rRNA
Rfam family: Bacterial small subunit ribosomal RNA
Source: RNAcentral
AAGGCGACGAUCGGUAGCCGGACUGAGAGGUUGAACGGCCACAUUGGGACUGAGACACGGCCCAGACUCCUACGGGAGGCAGCAGUGGGGAAUAUUGCACAAUGGGGGAAACCCUGAUGCAGCGACGCCGCGUGGAGGAAGAAGGUCUUCGGAUUGUAAACUCCUGUUGUUGAGGAAGAUAAUGACGGUACUCAACAAGGAAGUGACGGCUAACUACGUGCCAGCAGCCGCGGUAAAACGUAGGUCACAAGCGUUGUCCGGAAUUACUGGGUGUAAAGGGAGCGCAGGCGGGAAGACAAGUUGGAAGUGAAAUCUAUGGGCUCAACCCAUAAACUGCUUUCAAAACUGUUUUUCUUGAGUAGUGCAGAGGUAGGCGGAAUUCCCGGUGUAGCGGUGGAAUGCGUAGAUAUCGGGAGGAACACCAGUGGCGAAGGCGGCCUACUGGGCACCAACUGACGCUGAGGCUCGAAAGUGUGGGUAGCAAACAGG